Molecule: ribosomal RNA, 253 nt
Filed under: uncultured bacterium
Lineage: Bacteria
Description: partial 16S ribosomal RNA
Rfam family: Bacterial small subunit ribosomal RNA
Source: RNAcentral
UACAGAGGGGGCAAGCGUUAUUCGGAAUUACUGGGCGUAAAGCGUGCGUAGACGGUUAUGUAAGUCAGGUGUGAAAGCCCCGGGCUCAACCUGGGAAUGGCAUUUGAGACUGCAUAGCUAGGGUGCGGAAGAGGGAAGCGGAAUUUCCGGUGUAGCGGUGAAAUGCGUAGAUAUCGGAAGGAACAUCAGUGGCGAAAGCGGCUUCCUGGUCCAGCACCGACGUUCAGGCACGAAAGCGUGGGGAGCAAACAGG